UCUUCCGCAAUGGGCGAAAGUCUGACGGAGCAACGCCGCGUGAGUGAUGAAGGCUUUCGGGUCGUAAAACUCUGUUGGUAGGGAAGAACAAGUGCAAUUUGAAUAAGCUAGCACCUUGACGGUACCUAACCAGAAAGCCACGGCUAAUUACGUGCCAGCAGCCGCGGUAAUACGUAGGUGGCAAGCGUUAUCCGGAAUUAUUGGGCGUAAAGCGAGCGCAGGUGGUUUCUUAAGUCUGAUGUGAAAGCCCACGGCUCAACCGUGGAGGGUCAUUGGAAACUGGGAGACUUGAGUGCAGAAGAGGAAAGUGGAAUUCCAUGUGUAGCGGUGAAAUGCGUAGAGAUAUGGAGGAACGCCAGUGGCGAAGGCGACUUUCUGGUCUGUAACUGACACUGAGGCGCGAAAGCGUGGGGAGCAAACAGG
RNAcentral lists this ribosomal RNA (423 nucleotides) under uncultured bacterium. RNAcentral describes it as "bacterial SSU rRNA". It matches the Rfam family "Bacterial small subunit ribosomal RNA", at positions 362 to 776 of the family's 1533-position model. The record is from RNAcentral.